This 497-nucleotide ribosomal RNA is filed under the name uncultured bacterium. Its description in RNAcentral is "partial 16S ribosomal RNA". It matches the Rfam family "Bacterial small subunit ribosomal RNA", at positions 28 to 507 of the family's 1533-position model. The record is from RNAcentral.
GAUGAACGCUGGCGGCGUGCCUAAUACAUGCAAGUCGAGCGAACGGACGAGAAGCUUGCUUCUCUGAUGUUAGCGGCGGACGGGUGAGUAACACGUGGAUAACCUACCUAUAAGACUGGGAUAACUUCGGGAAACCGGAGCUAAUACCGGAUGAUAUUUUGAACCGCAUGGUUCAAUAGUGAAAGACGGUCUUGCUGUCACUUAUAGAUGGAUCCGCGCUGCAUUAGCUAGUUGGUAAGGUAACGGCUUACCAAGGCAACGAUGCAUAGCCGACCUGAGAGGGUGAUCGGCCACACUGGAACUGAGACACGGUCCAGACUCCUACGGGAGGCAGCAGUAGGGAAUCUUCCGCAAUGGGCGAAAGCCUGACGGAGCAACGCCGCGUGAGUGAUGAAGGUCUUCGGAUCGUAAAACUCUGUUAUUAGGGAAGAACAAAUGUGUAAGUAACUGUGCACAUCGUGACGGUACCUAAUCAGAAAGCCACGGCUAACUACGUG